Molecule: long non-coding RNA, 2258 nt
Filed under: Pogona vitticeps (central bearded dragon)
Lineage: Eukaryota; Metazoa; Chordata; Lepidosauria; Squamata; Agamidae
Description: lncRNA (ENSPVIG00000003968.1)
Source: RNAcentral
UUGUUGUUAAUACAGAGUCCUCAUCAUCUCAGCUGGCCAGACUCUUAGAUCCUUCUUUCCUUGUGCCUCUGUCAAUGGUCUCUAUACUCUUGUUGUUGUUGUGGUUGUUGUUGUUGUGUUCUUCUUUGUCAUCAAGUCCCCUCCAAACCCUGGUGACUUCCAAACGAAUGGAUGACCUUCAAAAUGAGGAAGAGCCCUGCUCAGCUCUUGCAAACUCAACCCCGUGGCUUCUUUUACUAAGUCAUUCCGACUCAUGGUCGCUUUUCAUCACUUCCUGCUGCUUUUCCCUGGAAGCAAACCCACUAAAUCCGAAAGUUUUAGGGUUGCACGUGGCCGAGAGUUUAAGCCUUUCCCGUGCUCAACGGGAGCCCUUGAAAGUUUCAGCCAACCGGUUUCUUGGAGCUCAGCUCUUGCCUGUUCAGUAACGAGUUACUCCAUGGUAACUCCUACACAGAACAGCAGGAGGAGGACCCGCGCAGCCGGAUGCAAGGCCAGGUUGCGCGGCGGUAACCCGAUCCCCGCCUGCUUUAGGUCUUGGGACAGGAUUAGUCGGCACGGAUCAGCGUGGCGGGUUGCAGCCCUCGCGUCACGUCUGAAAGGACCCCGGCCCCUUCUCUCUCUCUCUCUUUCUUCCCCCCCCUUCCCGAGUCUACUGGUUCCUGGGCCGGGCCAGGGGACGACCCCCCCUCCGACAUCCAUCCACACCCCCACAGCCCCGGCUCGGCCGCCCCGCUUUGCGCGCUGCUUCCAAGGGGAGGAGACUAAAAGUUUCUCCCUCUCGAGGCGCGCCGAUCGCGGCAAUCGGACCUGCCUGCGGACGGAAGGGGAGGCGAAGCCGCCAGCGCCAGGACUGAGGCAGGGAAGGACGCCGCCGACUCGCCCCACCGCCCCACUUCCAAGGGGGUCGCCGAUCCUGGAGGCGGAAGGGACGGGGGCGCCGAGCAAACCCGGCAGCAAAAUUUAUUUAAUACUUACAUGAUGGCUCCUAUCCACUUUCAGUGCUCUCCUGUCCAAGCAGGAGGACUGGCUGUGGUCUAUAAGACGGCUACAGCCUGCUGAGAGGGAUCUCGCACGCAAAGCUGCAGCUAUGAAAUAUAGCCGGGGCAAAACCACUGUAACCAUGAACGGAAGAAUACCAGCACCUUGCACUGCAGUUGGUCUCUCGUCUCUCCCCACUUUAUUUGUUAUGGCACUAAAGUUGGGUUGAAGUGAUUAAGCUCUCCUGACAUUGAUAGGCUGGCCAUCCUCUCUUGCCCUGUACUUAACCAAUUUAGAUCCUCCAGUACCCGUCCAUUAAGGCUUCCUGGAGCACUUUCCCAGCUUGGCAAAACGGCCGGCCAUGGGGCUCUGGUUACAGCCCUUUCCGGAGCCUAAGUAAAUGUCAACUCUCAGACGCAGAAGACCUGAAGGCAGGUGGUCCUGACAGCUUCCCAGCCUGCCUGUCGUGUGCAGUUUUCUUUGAUAGCCCAAGAAGACCCCUGGCGUGGCACAGGUGACCUGACAAGAUAGAGCGGAACCAUUCAAAGAGUGUAUAUUUUUAGAGAGAGAGAUGCAGCUGUUUUCUUGAAAUACUGGCUGCCAAAGGACAUUAUUUUUGGCUGGGGUUCAGGUUCGCCCACCUGCUGAGUAAACAACGGGGCUGUGCGUCAACACCAGUCCUUACUUUUUUGGGAACGCAGCUACCAAAAUAUCCUAGCCAACGUAACAACACACACACAGACACACAAACAGACACACAGACACACAGACACACAGACACACACACACACACACACACACACACACACAAGCAACUUUUCCACAUUGCUGCUUAAGAUUUGCCAGAGUUUCUCUGCUAGAACCAAAAUUCUGGGCCCGCAAAACAAAAACAAGCCCAGACCCUGAAUCCUGUGACUUUUGUGAAAUCCAAUGGAUCUGCUCCAUCUGUUAUUUUGUAUAAUUGUUUUUAAAAAGCAGAAACAAAGACCUCCUCUUCCCCCCCCCCAUGUCUUAGCAAGAGCUUUGCCACUUCAACUGAGUAGCGCUUCAAAGAGUUCCCGGACGUUGACCAAAUAAUUCCAGACAAAUAUAAGAUGUAGCGCUUUCCUUUAAACCAUAUCAACAAAAAGGCAGUAAGCGAUGGAGAGAAAGUAGCACCAUCUACGGACUUGGGGAUCAGAUUCAAGCCCCGAUUCCUCCCCGUCGGCUCCACCAGCCCCCAAAGGUUGAAAACUAACCAUUUUAAUAAAAUAUGGGGUAGAAUGAGGGGAGUCUUGAGG